This 326-nucleotide long non-coding RNA is filed under the name Lathyrus oleraceus (garden pea). RNAcentral's name for it is "Pisum sativum (pea) long non-coding RNA (PSAT_LNC002058)". The record is from RNAcentral. Lineage: Eukaryota; Viridiplantae; Streptophyta; Magnoliopsida; Fabales; Fabaceae.
UUAUUUUAUGGUUCUUACACCAUUUGUCUUUUAUUUUAUGGUUCUUACAUUGUUUAUCAGUUUAUUUUACGGUUCUUACACCGUUUGUCUUUCUAUUUUAUGGUUGUUACAUCGCUUGUCAUUUUAUUUUAUGGUUCAUACAUCGUUUGUCUUUUUUAUUUUAUGAUUCGUACACAAUUUGUAUUUUUCUUUUACGGUUCUUACACAGUUUGUUUUCUUAUUUUACGGUUCUUACAUUGUUUGUCUUUUAUUUUACGGUUCUGACACUGUUUUUCUUUUUUUUUUACGGUUCUUACACUGUUGGUCUUUUUUUUUGCGGUUUUUAC